AUGAUGAGCACAGGACAAUGAGUAUCAAAGUACUCUCAACUAAUUUUGGGAUCUAAGAGCAUAAAGACUUGCUGUGAAGAGUUGAAAUCCACAACAGUGGAAGAAAGUUGAAUGUGUUGGACUCUGAAAUAUAUUAUAAAGGUGGAAUAAAACAAUCCUGUAGCAUUAUGGAAGAUUGCGUUUAGAAAAAUUUAAGGAUGCAUCAUCAAGAACACACAUGUUGGAAGAUGCCAGAAGUCUGCAAUCUUAAUAUGACCCCUUUCAAAUUAUGUCAUGUGAAAGUGUCUUUAAUUACAAGAUCUCAUAAAAGUUUUGUCACAGUCCCUGCCUAAUUUAACACCCUGAAUGACUGACACGGACAACACGAGUAGUAAUUUGAUACUUACUUUAAUUUUCUUUUUUUGAGAUGCAACCCUCCCUUCUGCUUCCUUUGCAAGAUUCAAAACUAAUCCUGAAUGUAGAAAUACUGUUCUUGUCAGUGUAGAAAUACUUUCUAUGGUACUCAUGCCUAGUGUCCUAGCUCUUCUUAGCUGUUUAUUAACUUAACUUCAGUGUGUUCCUUUGUUAAAGGAUGUCAUUAUCCCUGUUUACAGAUGGAAGAACUAAUGUAAAGAAAGAAUAUUGUUAAGAUUUCCAAACAUGCCUAAAACAAGGUGAAGAUCUGGCAUCAACACUGGUGAGUCCCAUAGCAGGAGAAGGAAGGUAGAAGAAACAGACCCGACAUGACCUGAUGACCUGGAAGUUACACUGGACAAGGUGCUAAGAACCUACUGGAGAUGACUCUGUGGGAGAAAGAAGCAACAGGGUCAAAGUCACAGACCACUGUGGACUGAUAUUCUUCAGCAGCCCCUGUGCCAGCCCUGCAUGUGAUGUAGCACAAGAAUAUGAUGCAUAUGAUUAAUACUGAAACCACAUUUAAAAGCUGCAUUUUGUUCAAGAGAUAUAAGCUUUUCAUCCUUGCUGUAGAGAUGUUCCUGUUGGUUACGAUUUCCCAGGCAGUGAAAGACCAGUGGCGAACUGCCAAUUGCCACGUCAGAGCCCCAUGCCGUUUCAGCCCUCCAGCUUCUGAACUCACCGUAACCCACACGCAGUGCUCUGUGGAGGUGGACCACACAGCUGAUGUGAUGA
Molecule: non-coding RNA, 1128 nt
Organism: Phalacrocorax carbo (great cormorant)
Lineage: Eukaryota; Metazoa; Chordata; Aves; Suliformes; Phalacrocoracidae
Source: RefSeq, a predicted model, not a curated record